This 226-nucleotide ribosomal RNA is filed under the name uncultured bacterium. RNAcentral's name for it is "partial 16S ribosomal RNA". It matches the Rfam family "Bacterial small subunit ribosomal RNA", at positions 91 to 334 of the family's 1533-position model. The record is from RNAcentral.
GUUAGUGGCAUACGGGUGAGUAACGCGUGGGAAUCUGCCUAGUAGUACGGAAUAACAGUUGGAAACGACUGCUAAUACCGUAUAAUCUCUUCGGAGGAAAGAUUUAUCGCUACUAGACGAGCCCGCGUAAGAUUAGGUAGUUGGUGAGGUAAUGGCUCACCAAGCCUACGAUCUUUAGCUGGUCUGAGAGGAUGAUCAGCCACACUGGGACUGAGACACGGCCCAG